GGACUUUAGUUCAGUGUAAACAUACCGAUAGGCCAAAACACCUUCACCAAACCAAAACAAACCUCCAGAACUGUGGGAUCAUUUACAUUGAAUAAAAGUAAGAGCCGACUUCAGUCGGUAUAUAUUGUUGCAAAAGGGGAUUUGCAAAAGGGGACGAUACAGAGGGAGUUGAAAGAUCUUGUCUUAACUUGUACCAAACAUUAAUCGGAAGAAGUUCAUGUGUAUGGCCAUUAAUAUUAAUAUUUAUGCAGUGAGUUAUAGUUGCUUGUGUAUGAAAGUAUGAACAAGUCUCAAACCAAACUUGUAGCCGGUGCAGCGGUGUUGACGAAACAAGUCGAUCCCUUAGGCAAAAAUACACAAGAUGAAAGGAAGAAACCGACAGCAGUCGGAAGUAUUACCCGUGAAGUCGCAUCGAACAGCAACGAUAAUAGGCAGUAUACGGAUGCAAUGAAAUUAGACCCAUCCCGCAUAGAGAUUGAAAGCGUUUUAGCGAAUGCUAUUAAAAUAGAAAACUUUACAGAAGAGGACAGUGUCUUCAAUGAAGAAAGCAUCCCUCUUGAUACAAUACGGUUACCAAAGAGAAAAUAUUUCGGGGAUGAAGAGUCGGAAGACGAUUCCAGCAUUACAUCGAAAUCGCAAGACUCUAACGAUGCUUGGGAUGAAAUGCAUUACCAAAAAGAAACUGAUCUUCGAGCGACCGCAUCGACAGCCAACAAUCCUGUCAAGAAAAAAAAGUUAGAACAAACACCACGUGAAUCCGUCAAACAAUACCUUGUAAACGAUAGUUCUAGAAUGAAACCUGUCAGUGAACCCAAUCGCAAUCGGAUUUCACAGAACGAUGGAGUGCAAGAUAUAUCUAUACAGAUACAGAUAUGUAAAGAAAGAAUAAGGAAACUAGAGGAAAAAAAUCGAUACCUAAAACAAGUUAUAGCUGAUAAGUUAGACAUUAUUGUAAAAGGCUCAACCAGACAGGUUCAGCAAAUGGAGAAGUUAGUUUCGACCAGAGCAGGUUCUCCACUUUUAGAGCCAUUUCCGGAUCCUUCCUUUACUGCAAAACUUUCAACUCCGAAUCGAUGGUAGCAAUCAUCCGAACAGGAGCGGGUCGUAACAAUCCAGAUCCGGACUCUACCAAAGCCAUUGGAUUCGCUGGUCUCCCCGAACUCCAGCGGACUUAAUCGGAAUCGUCCGGAAUUGCGGAGUCAAAUUCGGUUUUAAUCGGGAAUCGGAUUCAGUUUUCUAGAACCGGAGUUGGAGUAGAUCCAUUACUCCACUCCGGAUUACUCAUCACUAGUUGGCGACGAUGAUAACUACGUAUGAUUAAAUUGAGUAAAACAGUUUCAGUGUAAACAUACCGGCAGACAAAAUCAGCUUCAUCCAAACCAAAACAAACUUCCAGAACUGUGCCGUACGAUGGGUUACAUUGAAUAAAAGUAAGAACUGACUUCAGUGCUUAUUGCGGUUGUCGCAAUAGGGGUUUUAAAACGAUAAAAAGGUCAGCUGGACAAUCCUGUCCAAACGUUAAUGUGUGGCCAUCGAUAUUUCAUACAGUGUGUUAUAGUUGCUUGUGCAUGAAAGUAUGAAAAAGUCUCAACCCAAACUCCUAGCCGUGGCUGGCACUGGUGCAGCGCGUUUCAUCCAGGUGUUGACGGAACAAGUCGAUCCCUUAGGUGAUAAUACACAAGAUGAAUGGAAAGAACCGACAGAAGCCGUAAGUGUAAGCUGCGGAAAAGAUGAGAUGGAAUUCGGCCCAACACGAACAGAACUUGAAAACGUGCUAGCAAAUGCUAUUAAAAUUGAAAGCAGUGACUUCAAUGAAGAAAACAUUUCGCUUGAUGGGUUAAUGUCACCAAAGAGAAAAUACUCCGAAAACGAAGAAUCGGAGGACGAUUCCAGUAUCACAUCGAUGUCGCAAGAUUUUAGCGAAACUGUCACAGAAAUGCAUUAUCAAAGACAAACUGCCUUGAACAUCAACAAUCCUGUCAAGAAAAAAACGUUAGAACAAACACCACGCGCUUCAAAUUCACGCAUUAUCUCGUCAUCCACGGAAAAUAUUGGAAGACAUAUUGUCAGUGAAUCGCAAAACCGUAACAAACAAUGUGUGGAUAAUGAAGAUUUCAAAAUGGAGCUUGACUGUGCCAAUAAUAAACGUCGGCAAUCACAAUACGAUGUAGUGUCUAACCAAGCGACACAGUUGCAAAUGUAUAAAGCCAGAAUAAGGGAAUUGGAGCAGGAAAAUCGAUACUUACAAGGGAUCAUAACAUCUAAAUUAGAUGUUAUUAUACAAAAUUCAGCAGAGCAAAACGAACAUAUAGAUAAAUUGGUUGCACGAUCAAAGUCUACAUCUCAACCCGCGACUCAGAAAAGUCUUCACAAGACGGUAUUUAUGUUAAGGCCAUUGAACACUGAGGAGGAGUUGCAACAGCUAGAUGAAAUCGUUGGCACAAAUCCGACGUAUAGGGCGCAUGUUGUAGAAUACUUAAAACGUGAAUCCAACCGUACCGAUGUUGAAAAUUUACUACACGAUGCAAUUGAUUUGCUGUUUUGUAAAAGAUUUUUUGCUCGUAUGACUUGGACAGGAAUUAGUAGGACCGGAGCACCGAAGGUACAGUUAUGUAAAUAUGAAAACAUUAUUCGCCUUUUUCAAUUAGUUGGUGAAAGUGAGAGCGAAACACCUACUCUGCGUUAUAUAGUAGAGUAUUUAAAAAACAAGUUGAAACAUGCCAAAUCACGCAUUCAUAUACCCUUAACGAGAAAAACAUCCAGUCAUAAAAAAAUCAAAAAAACUACUUCCGAUAAUAUCGUAUGAUGCACAUGAUGUUAUCCUACAAUUUUAUCAAAACUGCCUUGUUCAGUUUAUAACAAAAAUCUCAUACAAAGUUUUUGAAUUUAUUGAUUUGCGAAUUCAGAAUAUUAACCUCCAGACAGUCAAUGCAAUGGUAAUGGUUUCAAAUUCUCUUGACAGUGGUUCAAUGCAAACUUCCCUUGUUAAAUUUAAAUGUAAGCAGCAUUUUAAUUGUAAGAAGUAAAACAUACAUUUUGGAACUGUUAUACACUAAA
RNA transcript from Anopheles gambiae (African malaria mosquito), 3057 nucleotides. RefSeq lists it as uncharacterized. The transcript is spliced from 14 exons. The record is from RefSeq and is a predicted model, not a curated record. NCBI's taxonomy places the organism in Eukaryota, Metazoa, Arthropoda, Insecta, Diptera, Culicidae.